AUAAUAGCAAAGAGGAUACACCUGUUCCCAUUCCGAACACAGAAGUUAAGCUCUUUAGCGCUGAUGGUACUUGGUGGGCAACUGCCUGGGAGAGUAAGA
RNAcentral lists this ribosomal RNA (99 nucleotides) under uncultured Romboutsia sp. Lineage: Bacteria; Bacillati; Bacillota; Clostridia; Peptostreptococcales; Peptostreptococcaceae. The record is from RNAcentral.